CGGGGCGUGGCUCAGUUUGGCUAGAGCGCUUGCUUUGGGAGCAAGAUGUCGACAGUUCGAGUCUGUCCGCCCCGA
This 75-nucleotide transfer RNA is filed under the name Candidatus Ghiorseimicrobium undicola. Its description in RNAcentral is "Candidatus Omnitrophica bacterium CG11_big_fil_rev_8_21_14_0_20_42_13 tRNA-Pro". It matches the Rfam family "tRNA". From Rfam's summary of the family: Transfer RNA (tRNA) molecules are approximately 80 nucleotides in length. Their secondary structure includes four short double-helical elements and three loops (D, anti-codon, and T loops). Lineage: Bacteria; Pseudomonadati; Candidatus Omnitrophota. The record is from RNAcentral.